RNAcentral lists this ribosomal RNA (404 nucleotides) under Candidatus Williamhamiltonella defendens. RNAcentral describes it as "bacterial SSU rRNA". It matches the Rfam family "Bacterial small subunit ribosomal RNA", at positions 27 to 421 of the family's 1533-position model. The record is from RNAcentral. Lineage: Bacteria; Pseudomonadati; Pseudomonadota; Gammaproteobacteria; Enterobacterales; Enterobacteriaceae.
GAUUGAACGCUGGUGGCAGGCCUAACACAUGCAAGUCGAGCGGCAUCGAGUGAGCGCAGUUUACUGAGUUCACGUCGGCGAGCGGCGGACGGGUGAGUAAAGUCUGGGAAUCUGGCCGAAGGAGGGGGAUAACUGCUGGAAACGGCAGCUAAUACCGCAUGAAGUCGCGAGACCAAAGUGGGGGACCUUCGGGCCUCACGCCGUCGGAUGAGCCCAGAUGAGAUUAGCUGGUAGGUAAGGUAAAGGCUUACCUAGGCGACGAUCUCUAGCGGGUCUGAGAGGAUAGCCCGCCACACUGGAACUGAGACACGGUCCAGACUCCUACGGGAGGCAGCAGUGGGGAAUAUUGCACAAUGGGCGAAAGCCUGAUGCAGCCAUGCCACGUGUGUGAAGAAGGCCUUCGG